RNAcentral lists this transfer RNA (21 nucleotides) under Scyphostelma serpyllifolium. Its description in RNAcentral is "partial tRNA-Phe". RNAcentral also lists the same sequence under 57 other names. Lineage: Eukaryota; Viridiplantae; Streptophyta; Magnoliopsida; Gentianales; Apocynaceae. The record is from RNAcentral.
GCCGGGAUAGCUCAGCUGGUA